Molecule: ribosomal RNA, 97 nt
Filed under: uncultured eukaryote
Lineage: Eukaryota
Description: partial small subunit ribosomal RNA
Source: RNAcentral
AGAGCCAACCCGCAAGGGAGGUGGACGGCCAAGGUGAAGCCUCUGACUGGGACUAAGUCGYARCAAGGUAUCCGUAGGUGAACCUGCAGAAGGAUCA